RNAcentral lists this ribosomal RNA (253 nucleotides) under uncultured bacterium. RNAcentral describes it as "partial 16S ribosomal RNA". It matches the Rfam family "Bacterial small subunit ribosomal RNA", at positions 524 to 776 of the family's 1533-position model. The record is from RNAcentral.
UACGUAGGGUGCGAGCGUUAAUCGGAAUUACUGGGCGUAAAGCGUGCGCAGGCGGUUUUGUAAGCCAGAUGUGAAAGCCCCGGGCUUAACCUGGGAAUGGCAUUUGGGACUGCAAGGCUUGAGUGCGGCAGAGGAGACUGGAAUUCCUGGUGUAGCGGUGAAAUGCGCAGAUAUCAGGAAGAACACCCGUGGCUAAGGCGGCUCUCUAGUACGGUACUGACGCUGAGACGCGAAAGCGUGGGGAGCGAACAGG